UACGUAGGGACCAAGCGUUGUUCGGAUUUACUGGGCGUAAAGGGCGCGUAGGCGGCUUAACAAGUCACUUGUGAAAUCUCCGGGCUUAACUCGGAACGGCCAAGUGAAACUGUCAAGCUAGAGUGCAGAAGGGGCAAUCGGAAUUCUUGGUGUAGCGGUGAAAUGCGUAGAUAUCAAGAGGAACACCUGAGGUGAAGACGGGUUGCUGGGCCGACACUGACGCUGAUGCGCGAAAGCCAGGGGAGCGAACGGG
RNAcentral lists this ribosomal RNA (253 nucleotides) under uncultured bacterium. Its description in RNAcentral is "partial 16S ribosomal RNA". It matches the Rfam family "Bacterial small subunit ribosomal RNA", at positions 524 to 776 of the family's 1533-position model. The record is from RNAcentral.